Molecule: ribosomal RNA, 481 nt
Filed under: uncultured bacterium
Lineage: Bacteria
Description: partial 16S ribosomal RNA
Rfam family: Bacterial small subunit ribosomal RNA
Source: RNAcentral
AUUGAACGCUGGCGGCAUGCUUUACACAUGCAAGUCGAACGGUAACAGGCCGCAAGGUGCUGACGAGUGGCGAACGGGUGAGUAAUGCAUCGGAACGUGCCCAGUCGUGGGGGAUAACUACUCGAAAGAGUAGCUAAUACCGCAUACGAUCUAUGGAUGAAAGCGGGGGACCGUAAGGCCUCGCGCGAUUGGAGCGGCCGAUGUCAGAUUAGGUAGUUGGUGGGGUAAAGGCUCACCAAGCCAACGAUCUGUAGCUGGUCUGAGAGGACAACCAGCCACACUGGGACUGAGACACGGCCCAGACUCCUACGGGAGGCAGCAGUGGGGAAUUUUGGACAAUGGGCGCAAGCCUGAUCCAGCAAUGCCGCGUGCAGGAAGGAGGCCUUCGGGUUGUAAACUGCUUUUGUACGGAACGAAACGGCUCUGGUUAAUACCCGGGGCUAAUGACGGUACCGUAAGAAUAAGCACCGGCUAACUACGU